UGUUCCUGGAGAGAAACUCAUAGAACAAAGUUUUAAUUUAUCAAGCUAUCAGGGAGCACAUAAGUGGAGGCCAUAAAUCAGGAAAGCACGUGAAUUUUUUACAGUACGUGUGGAGUAGCAAGUAGUCCAACAGAGGUGGGGCUGGCGCCCUUUAGUGUAACACGAUGGCCUCGCUAUGCUCUUACACAAUUACCCAUUAAUCUCUAAAGAACAGUUCUUUAUACGGAAGGACAAGAACCAAGGUAUUAAUCUUUAGUGUCUACAUACACACAACAGGAAACACCUACUUUCAUUUAUAACCCUUAGCUUCUGAACUUUAGGCGGAUGAGACUCGGUCCAAAGGCAGCCGCGCCUUGCCAGGCAGCCUGGUGGGUCUGGGUGUGUAAGUCUGGCUGAGACCAUCGGGGCAGGCCGCGGGGCUCGCGUCACAGCAGAGAGGGCAUCUGCAAUCCGACGGAGGUCAGCGCAGAGCAGAAAUGCAUCUGGACAACAGAAGCGCCGCGACUGCGGGGGUGCCGCGCAGAGAAGACUUGCCACGAACAUAAUCCCUUUCACGAGAUCCAGCCAAACUUCCCUGUGAACAUCUGUCUCCUGAAGCAUCCCACCGCUGCCCUAAAUUCUAACGGGUGGCUCUAAACCAGAUACUCACAUCGUCUGACCUCAGAAUUAUCUUCCAUGAAGGAUGUCUGGCUAAAAGCCCCAUUCUGGAAUGAGAGUCCUGCCGCCUCCUCCAGUGACGGUCCUUCAGGGAUCCAGAGUCUCCUGCCUCCUCCUUUCCUUCUGAUUAAACCACUUCUCCUCAAGCACCAGCAUUCAAGGUAAAUUUUUUUGAACUGUUGUUGGUCAUAAAGAGGAAUGAAGCGCUGACACGCCACAACUUGGACGGACCUUGAAGACGUUACACUGAGUGAGUGGAGCCAGUCGCAGAAGCCCAUGUGUCAUAGGAUUCCGUUUAUAUAAAUGCCCAGUACAGGGAAACUACAGACACAGAAAUAGAUGAGUGGUUGCUCAGGGCGGGGCCGGGGGCGUGGGAAGGUGACAGCUAAAGGGUGCAAGGUUCCUUCCUGAGGUGACAAAAAUGUUUUAACGUCGACUGUGGUGUUGGUUGCACACACACGAGUAUACGAAAAUCCACUGAACUGUACACUUUAAAUGAACAAAUGGUAAUACAUGUGAGUGUUAUGUCAAUAAAGCUGCUUAAAAUUAAAAAAAUUAUGAACUAUUUUAUACAAAAUCAUACAUAUGGUAUAAAGAAAGAUAACAUAAACGCCCUUUACCUAUCACCUUCUUAAUAAAUCACGCUUCAUCACCACCUUUAAAGCCGUCCGCACAGCCCUUCUGAAACACCACCCUUUGCCUCCUCACCCAGGAAAAUCACUCAUUUGAUGUUGAAAAAAUAGAUUGUUCCUUUGACUUUCAUUAUAGUUUUACUACAUAUGUAUGUAUCUGUAAACACUGUUUAACUUUAUAAGUUUUAAACUUUCUAGGGGCUGGCCCACAGUGCAGUGGUCAAGUUCCACGAGCUCUGCUUUGGUUGCCCAGGGUUUGCAGUUUGGACCCCGGAUGUGGACCCCACACCACUCAUCACCCAUGCUGUGGUGGUGGCCUACAUACGAAAUAGAGGAAGACUGGCACAGAUGUUAGCUCAGCGACAAUCUUCGUCAGCCAAAAAAAACCUUUCCACAAACGUGCUGUACUUCCGUAACUUGAGUUUUUCAUUCAACACAUUAUUUUUGACAGCCUUCCAUGUUCUAAAUAGUUUCUCCUUCAAUUCUAUGUAUUACUUAUUAAUUACCCUCUAAAUUGAAGACAGUGAAACCUGCCUCAGAGAGAAUUCUUGUGAGAUAAUAUAAAGUGCUUAUUGCAGUGCCUGACUCAUGAUGGGUGUUCGAUUUUUGAUAGAUACAUUAUUGUUAUAUAAUUAAUAUAUUGCUGCAAUUGCUAUAUUAUCAUAUAUGUUAUUAUAUAUAUUAGUUAUUGCUCUUUUCUGUGGGAAUAUGUAUUAUUUCAUCAGCUACAUUAUACAUUAGUAGUUUUCAAGCUAUAGUAAAAUCUGAGUUACACAGACCUUUGGGAAGUACCUUAUUCUAGAUACUUGAAUUUCUGGAUAGCUAAGAUUUAAUUUUUUUAUGGGCCAAAUUUAUUUCUAAACGUAUCUUUUUAAAUUCAAACAAACUAAAAGAAUGAACUUUAUUAAAAAUUUCAGCCAUUUCCAAAUUCUCUUCCAAACUUGUUAAUGAACAUAUCUGACAGAUUUUAAUCAGACAGCACAAAUUGUUCUGUGUUCUGCUUUAAAAUCUUCCUUCAUUUGUGCACUUCCACAUACAGACACAGCCAAUAGAAGUGCCAUUUUUCAUGACUGUUUGCUUCCCCGACUCCCAUAGUCAGAGGAGAGCAGCAGAGGAGAAAGGGCAGGAAGCAGACGGGCUCUGAGCCCUGCCCGGGAGCCCUGCUGGGAUCCUGAUCCCUCCGUGGGAGGGUCACACAGUCUCCUGGGCCAUCACUUUUUUCCACGGCAGCUGCUGGUGCCAGUUUUCAAACUGCUGCCAUCAGAGGGCAGUCUGGUCCUGUCCACCAGCACAGGUCCAGCGGUGGGGCUUCCGGGAACCCCAGUGCAGGAAACAACAGCAGGGUCAAGGGCAGGCACCAAGGGAGGCGGCCUUGGGUUUAUGACCAGCAUCUGUAACAGUUACAGUUCCCGGCCACCUCCACCCGGCUCCCACUGGUCACAAUAUGGUAAAUGACACAGGGGGUUGCUGGGGUUCCGAUGAACAUCACCCUGUCACUCCAGGAGCUUCUAGGUCAGAGAGCUCGUCCUUCCCACCACUGCACACAUCUGGAUGCAUCAGCAAGCUUGUGUGUGCACUGACCCUGUCGUUCCAGGAGCUUCUGGUCAGAGAGCUCCUUUCCCGUCACUGCACACAUCUGGACGCAUCAGCAAGCACGUGUGCGCACAGGCACUGUCACUCCAGGAGCUUCUGGGUCAGAGAGCUCAUCCUUUCCUACCACUGCACACAUCUGGAUGUAUCAGCAAGCUCGUGUGUGCAGAGGCCCUGUUGUUCCAGAAGCUUCUGGGUCAGAGAGCUCGUCCUUUCCCCACCACUGCACACAUCUGGAUGCAUCAGCAAGCUCGUGUGUGUACAGGCACUGUAAUUGUUUUGUGGAUAUGAACCCUCACACAAGAAUUAACUUAUUUACAACAAUAUUUUAACAUUUCCAAAAAGCUGAACAUUUUGAAGUUCUCUAUUUCUGUUAUUUCUAAUUUUAUUGCAUUACGUCCGGAAAUGUAAUGUGUACUAAGUGUAGUUUUUGUUUGCAAAUUAUGGUCAAAAGUAUUUCUACUUCUUUGCAAGUCUGUUGACACACUUUUUUUUAACUUUGUUACCACAUUCUUUUGAGCAUAUUCAUACAGAUCUGUUAUGUGUUCAUAGUUUCUGGCGCUUAAAAAAUUCUCACCUUUCAUUCUCCCUUCAACUUUUCCUUCUAUGCCCUUUGCUCUAGAUUCGAUGAUCUGAUAUCUAUUUGUGAGUUAAGAUUGCUUUCAGUUCUAGAUACCAGAACAUCUCACAUGUAAGUCUCAACAAGAAGGUAGGAGAGGAGGCUGAAGGAGCAGGCAGGGGCCAGGUUGUCUAAGCUCUUAUUCUCUCACAAUGAGAAGCAGUGGCAGAAUUUGAAUGGGGAGGUGGGUGGUGCAUAUCCUUGCUCUUCAUGCUUUCAAGAGGUCACUCUGCAUGCUGAGUGAAGAAUGGCUGGAGGAGGGCAAGAGAGGAAGCAGGGAGACAGUUAGGAGACUGUCCUUGGCAGGAGACCAGUAAGAGAGAAAGGCAGCUGAACCGGGUUCUAGAAAUGGAGACAGCGAGAAGCUGCAAUCAGGAUGCACGCUGCAGGCAGAGCCAACAGGACUUGCUGUGAGACUGCGUGUGGGGUGAGAAGGGAAGAGCCAAGGAUGACUCCUGGGUGCUCCCCUCAGGGAAGAGAACCCAGGCCUGGGGGUGACCAGCAGAUGGCAUUCAAAGCUGGGAGACUGGAUGGGAUCUCUCUGAGAAGAGGGGUCACAGAGCAAAGAGAAGGGG
Long non-coding RNA from Equus asinus (donkey), 4073 nucleotides. The record is from Ensembl. NCBI's taxonomy places the organism in Eukaryota, Metazoa, Chordata, Mammalia, Perissodactyla, Equidae.